Molecule: ribosomal RNA, 440 nt
Filed under: uncultured Novosphingobium sp.
Lineage: Bacteria; Pseudomonadati; Pseudomonadota; Alphaproteobacteria; Sphingomonadales; Sphingomonadaceae
Description: bacterial SSU rRNA
Rfam family: Bacterial small subunit ribosomal RNA
Source: RNAcentral
CCUACGGGGGGCUGCAGUGGGGAAUAUUGGACAAUGGGGGCAACCCUGAUCCAGCAAUGCCGCGUGAGUGAUGAAGGCCUUAGGGUUGUAAAGCUCUUUUACCAGGGAUGAUAAUGACAGUACCUGGAGAAUAAGCUCCGGCUAACUCCGUGCCAGCAGCCGCGGUAAUACGGAGGGAGCUAGCGUUGUUCGGAAUUACUGGGCGUAAAGCGCACGUAGGCGGUUACUCAAGUCAGAGGUGAAAGCCCGGGGCUCAACCCCGGAACUGCCUUUGAAACUAGGUAACUAGAAUCCUGGAGAGGUGAGUGGAAUUCCGAGUGUAGAGGUGAAAUUCGUAGAUAUUCGGAAGAACACCAGUGGCGAAGGCGGCUCACUGGACAGGUAUUGACGCUGAGGUGCGAAAGCGUGGGGAGCAAACAGGAUUAGAUACCCUAGUAGUC